GGCGGACGGGUGAGUAACACGUGGGUAACCUACCUAUAAGACUGGGAUAACUUCGGGAAACCGGAGCUAAUACCGGAUAAUAUUUAGCUUCGCAUGAAGCAAUAGUGAAAGACGGUUCUGCUGUCACUUAUAGAUGGACCCGCGGUGUAUUAGCUAGUUGGUGAGGUAACGGCUCACCAAGGCAACGAUACAUAGCCGACCUGAGAGGGUGAUCGGCCACACUGGGACUGAGACACGGCCCAGACUCCUACGGGAGGCAGCAGUAGGGAAUCUUCCGCAAUGGACGAAAGUCUGACGGAGCAACGCCGCGUGAGUGAAGAAGGUUUUCGGAUCGUAAAACUCUGUUGUAAGGGAAGAACAAGUACGUUAGUAACUGAACGUACCUUGACGGUACCUUACCAGAAAGCCACGGCUAACUACGUGCCAGCAGCCGCGGUAAUACGUAGGUGGCAAGCGUUAUCCGGAAUUAUUGGGCGUAAAGCGCGCGUAGGCGGUCUCUUAAGUCUGAUGUGAAAGCCCCCGGCUCAACCGGGGAGGGUCAUUGGAAACUGGGAGACUUGAGUGCAGAAGAGGAGAGUGGAAUUCCAUGUGUAGCGGUGAAAUGCGCAGAGAUAUGGAGGAACACCAGUGGCGAAGGCGGCUCUCUGGUCUGUAACUGACGCUGAGGUGCGAAAGCGUGGGGAUCAAACAGGAUUAGAUACCCUGGUAGUCCACGCCGUAAACGAUGAGUGCUAAGUGUUGGGGGGUUUCCGCCCCUCAGUGCUGCAGCUAACGCAUUAAGCACUCCGCCUGGGGAGUACGGUCGCAAGACUGAAACUCAAAGGAAUUGACGGGGACCCG
RNAcentral lists this ribosomal RNA (840 nucleotides) under Macrococcoides caseolyticum. RNAcentral's name for it is "bacterial SSU rRNA". It matches the Rfam family "Bacterial small subunit ribosomal RNA", at positions 97 to 923 of the family's 1533-position model. The record is from RNAcentral. Lineage: Bacteria; Bacillati; Bacillota; Bacilli; Caryophanales; Staphylococcaceae.